Long non-coding RNA from Artibeus jamaicensis (Jamaican fruit-eating bat), 1416 nucleotides. RefSeq lists it as uncharacterized. Lineage: Eukaryota; Metazoa; Chordata; Mammalia; Chiroptera; Phyllostomidae. The record is from RefSeq and is a predicted model, not a curated record. The transcript is spliced from 4 exons.
CAGGCCCAGCGAGGUUAUAGAACUUUCCUCAGGUCACCCAGUAAGUGGGGGAGUCAGAAAUUCGACCCAGAACCCUCUGACUCUAACACCUGGGCCUGUUCUGUUCCUCACUGCUGCCCAGGAAAAGUCUGGUCUGGCUCAGGAGGAAAUACCUACUGUCCACUCUGUUCCCCCCCCGGUUGGUGGGUGCCUGUGUCCCGUGCCACCUCCAAGACUUGGCUUGUGCCUGAAAUCUCCACUAGAAAACAAUGCUGAGAGGAAACAGCAGGACUUCUCUGUUUCCACACCCAACUCUCCUUCUGGGCUCCCAGCCCUCCUCCCACAGCGUGGGGUGAACCCCGUGGGGCCUGGCCGCGGUGAUCUCAGGGCGCUGGGCCUUGUCCCCAGUUCCUGCUUCUGCAAGUCUCAUUUGGUAAUUUUUGACAGAGUGAAAACCAACCCCUGAAACCUAGCCUGUGUGGUUGGUUCCCUUUGAUAACGCUACGAGAUACAGGCCCCCAUGAUGUCACCUCCCUACUCCCAAGGGAUGCUCGGUGCUGUCCCUGCCCCCUCGGCCCGUCUCAGAUCUCUCCACACAGGGGAGGGCAAGCCCUCCUUAUCUUCCCCAGUUGGUCUCGGUAUUUCUCAUGCUCUCUGACACUUCCGACACCUUGGGGUGCUGCUACUCCUCCCCCUCAACACCUCGCAGCAGCUUUAAGGUGACAGGAAACUUUCAGGGGUAGUCAGGUGUCUUGAGGAACCUUGUUGGUUUGGGGAGAGAAACAUCUAGACAGUGGCGUGCACUAGAACUUUCUGCAGGGAUGGAAAUGUGAUGUCUGGACAAGAAAAUGAAAGCUCGGGACUGCCUGAUGCAAAACCGAGUAGCCGGAAGGCUGGCGCUGUCCAUCUGUCACGGUGGCCUUGGCUGAUGUUGCUGUUCUGUGAAACUGGUUUUGCUCAAAGGAGAAGACCAAGGCCCAGCGUGUGACGCUGACCCUCCUCCAUGGCCAGGCGGGGUGAAUCUCAUCUCCUUGCACCUGAUUGGACCUUUGAAAUUGGCCAACCAAGUGCUGUGGAAGUGCUGCUGAGUGACUUCGGAGACUAGAUCAUAAUAGGUGAUAUGGUUUCUGCUUGUCUCUCUCAACAUGUCCCGAGAGCCCAGAGCCAGCAGGUGAGAAGUGGAGGUGCCCUCGGGCUGCCGUGCAGACAGGACACGGAGCGCUGCUGGGGGGUGUCUGGGGAGCAGCCCAGCUGUGUUCCCCUGGCUCAGGCAGCAGACGUGUGAGUGCAGGACUCUUCCGCCGGCCUAGCCACCGGCUGGGGCUGCAGUCCCGUGAGAGACCACCCAGCCAGAACCACCCAGUCCGGCAGCCUCCAAGUUCAUGACUCUUAGAAACUCAGAGAGAUAAUAAAUGAAUACUAUGGUUUUAAGCUAAG